GUGGGUAUCUAUCUCUGCCUCCAGUCAGCCCUUUGACUUUGGACUGGUUAUUUAACCUUCAUUCUACUUCUUCAUCUAGAGCAAAGGUCAGCAAAGUCACCAAAGGGUCAGACCAUAAAUUGUUAGGGCUGUAUGGGUCAUAUGGUGUUUUGUCAUAGCUAGUCACCUCUGCCCCCGUGGCAUGAGAGCUGCCAUCAGCAAUGAAAAGCACAUGUGCAUGGCUGUGCGCCAAGAAAACUUCAGCCAGCCUUCCAGAUAUGAUCCAGUGUCUGUAGCUGGCCAAACCUCGAUCAUAUGAUGCCCCCACCCCAACGAAAGAAUGUGGAGGACAUUAUGGUUGACUGUUCAGUGUCUGCCAGACUCCAGCUGAUAGCCUAAGUCCAAUGAAGAUGUUCCAGCCCCCGGACACACUUAAGCCUGUGCGUGAGGGAUGUGGGAAAAGGAUUAGCAGAGGCUUCUGGGAAGAUAGCUUCCAUACUGCCUUGGGAAGUUGGCCUCUCCCAAGACAGGCAUGUGCAGGAAACUGACAGGGUUAGGAGGGGACUGGCUCUACCGUCAGCUUUGGACACUUGGAUCACAAGGCUAGCAGAGAGGAAUCUCCCCGGACCUCUUUUAAUGUGAGCUAGAAAAUCUUCUGCCUUCUCUUUAUUAACUUGGAACUGGGUCACCUGUUAUUUCAGCUAACAGCCUCCCUGGUGAAAACCAUGUUGGAAGAGUAGUUCUGAGACCCGAUGGGAAAGUGUGUGACUGUGGCAUGCUAAUUAAAAAGCCUGCCACUGAGAUAAUCAGCAGGCACCUCACCGCAGGGGCCAUGCGCGCAUGCCUCUGACAUGCGUAAGUCUUUCAUCUUCUUUUCCAUAAUUUUUUUUUAGUUGUAAAUUCUUGGUUCUCUUUGCUUGAAAUUCCCAAGUCAUGUAAGAAAUAACUUAGUGGGAAGAAAACAAUGAUUAUUACUGGGAGGAAACAGCCUUGACCUAAAGGCCACCACAGGUCUGUUCCUUUCUCCCUCCUCUUUCCUCCCUCCCCCAUCCCCAGGUUGGCCUCUAGCUCACAGUGAGACUCCUGUCUUUGCCUCCUGGGUGCUGGGGUUACAGGCAUGAACCACCACAUCCAGGUUUGACUACCAAAUUUCUGUUUCUACAUAGUCCGGCAUAAUGCCAGCUCUUUCAAGGUUCUUCUCACUGUACCCCAUCGUGGGUGAUAUCCUGCAAGAGUGUGUUAGAUCUGGCCAGACAGGAAGUCUGAGAGAAGAACAGGCCCAGGCUCAUACCUUCAUAAUUACACUCCAUCAAGAGCCAGCCAGGGUAUCCUGAGCCCUACAUGAACUCCUUCCUUGAGUAUCGGCCCCACGUGGCGAGGUUCUGCCUCCUAUGGAGCCCACCACACUAAGCACCAAACUCCCAACGCGUGAGCCCUUCAGGGACAAAUCGGAUCCAAGCCACAAAAGAUUGAGGUUGCUUAUUAAACGAAAAAGGUGAGAUAAGCCAGGGCCGGUGACAAGGCUGAGGCAGGAGAAUGGUUUCAAGUUUAGAGGCAGUCUGGGCCCUAGAACAAGUACCACGUUAGUGGGGUUAUAACCCUGUCUUUUUUCUUUUUUAAGAAAAACAAAACCAAUAAAACGUGUUAAGUAUAAAAUUAAAGUACAUAGCCUCACCCCAAAUAUUUAACAGAAAAAAAAAACAGUAUUUUUUUCCAUUUCUUUUAAAAUUUUCCAUGAUGACCUAGAUCCACGGGCUUUAAAUUUUUAAGCAAGGAAAUAAAUCUAGCAUAAUAUGUCAUAAUCUGCAUUUCUUGCAACCACGUUGGACAGGUCCUAUAACCAGGGAUGAAGAACAAAUCACAGCUCCAGUUUAGUUUGUCAAAGUCUACGAGCUAAUAGCACCCUGAGAAUAUGGGUGAUUGAGUCAGCGAUACCUGCCAGGGAUCGUGACCUUUAUCAAUGAUGUUUCCUACAAGUUUGGGCCACUUGUGUAAGGUUGUGUAAUAAGGAAGUGAAGGGGUCCAGAGUUGCAUCUGUGGCUGUGAGACUUCAAAGACAUUUUAGAACGCUCAGCUCAGAGCCGAAGCUUUGAGAAGUAGGGAGCCUCCCGCGGGUCUUGUUUACAGAGCUCUGUCAGCUGCAGAACUCAGUUCAAGGGUUGGGCAGGGUGUGCGAAUCUAGAGAGGCAGUGCUGACCCUUGAACAGGCCAAGUGACAAGCCACCCAGCCAGUGAGACUGCGGGAAGAGCUAGGAUUAGGGCACAGGACUCGGGUCACCAGCUUUGGUCCCCAGAGAAGGGUGGUGCCAAGCUCCAGUUCAGCCAAGCCUGAUUAACAACAGAGCGAGGACCCAGUGGAACCCUACCUCCUGACUCACAUUUUCUCCUCUCCAUUUUGCACAUGUAAACCCCAAGUGCUCACCCCAUCCGUUGUCACCCACGCUUGCCAUGCAAGGACUAGGAAGCUCAAAGAAAUCGUCCAGGCAUCCGGCUAGGCACAGGAGAACAGGGUUUCUAACCAGGAUACAAAAAUAAACGUUUCCUCCUUUGGACUGAUUUAGAGUCAGUGUUUUUCCACAGCAAUGAGACCUGAACAACACAGCUUGGUAUUAACCUUGUGUCCUGAGAACCUGAAGAGUUGUUUGACCAAGGCAAACAGGAAUUUGCUUCUUUUUUGUAUUGCUAUGAUCUCCCCUUUCGGUUUCUUUCUUUCUUUCUCUUUUUUCUAGAUAGAGUCUCAGGUGGCCUGGACUGGCCUCAAACUCCCUACAUCGUGAGAAUAACCCUGAACUUCUGAUCUCCCGUCUCUACCUCCUGGUGCUAACCUGAUAGGCAUGUGCACAGUUCCCGGUGUCGGUGUUUGAGGAGCAAACCCAGAAAGAACCUUGCCCACGCCCAGUCGGCACUCGACCAAUGAAGCGUCCUCCAUAACCCUUAUCAGACAGUCUUCUGGUGGGUCACACGAUGCAUCUUGGUUGCCUGUGUCCGGGAUUUAGCAAGCAGAUGACAGAAGAAAGCAGCUGGCAAACCUGUAACCACUGUGGUUGGCUUUGGGAUUUGAGUGCCUGGUCAAGGACUCAGAGCACACUCGUGCUUUAGGAAAUCAGCCUGCUAGGAAGCCCUGGAGGCUAGAGACAGUUUUUGGGUCCUGUAUGGGAGAGGAAGCGCAGCGAGAGAUGGACAAGCCCUCAGGACGGCUGCCUGCACUCCGCCCUGAGACACACCCUCACUGUCUCGCUGACCUGACCCCUCUGCAGAAGGCUGGCUCGCAGGCAGAAAAGCCUCCUGCUUGGCACAGCUAGCUCUCUUCGGGUCUGCUCUGUGGCUUCUGGCACCAUCUUAUCUUAUUUUGAUAAAAGGAAUUUUGCAAUAAAAAUUUCUUGGCGGUGGUUCAACAAAGGAUCUACUUAUUAUCAUUUGAAAAACUGUGAGGGGUGGAGCUGGCGAGAGAGCUCAGCGGAGAGCACAGGGGUUCUCCCCCAGAGGACAGGAGCUGGAUUCCCAGCACCGACAUUGGGUGGCUCACAACCAUCUAUAAUUCCUGCUCCAGGAGAUCAAUGCCUUCUUCUGGCCUCUAUAUGCAGCCACACAUGUAUGUACAUUCACACAGGUAGCCACAAACACUCGGACAAAAACGAAGUACAUCUUUAAAAACGAAACUAAGCUUCAGAGGGAUGUGGAGAUGGUUCAGUGAAUACAUUCCCCUGCUAUGGAAGGAUGAGGAUGGAUCCCCAGCACCCAGAUUAAAAAGAGCUGGGCAUGGUCCACACAGGUGCUGGGGAGGCAGAGAUCGGGGAUACUUGGGGUUUGCUAACCAUCAGCCUAGUAAAAGAAUGAGCUCCAAGUGCAGUGAGAGACUCUCUCACAUAAGUAUUACAAGAGAGUCCAUGGUGGCGCACGCCUUUAAUCCCAGCCCUCGGGAGACAGGCAGGUUGAUCUCUGUGAGUCUGAGGCUAGCCUGGUCUACAGAGUGAGUCCCAGGACAGAGAAACCCUGUCUCAAGAGGGAAGAAAGUAAUCACAAGAUAGUCGAUUGUAUUACUAGAGUUCCAAGAAAGGCCCUGCUUCAAAAAACUAAGGUAGAGAGUGAUAAAGCAGACAGCCAACAUGUGCAAACACACACGUACAGAAACAUCUGAACACACACACACACAAUUUUGGGGCUGGAGAUGUAACUCAGCUGAGGGCUUGGCUAGCAUACACAGGUCCUGUUUGAUUCCCAACGUCACAGACACUGCACCUGCACACACCUGCAGCCUCUGAGGAAGACAGAGACA
Molecule: non-coding RNA, 4255 nt
Organism: Myodes glareolus (Bank vole)
Lineage: Eukaryota; Metazoa; Chordata; Mammalia; Rodentia; Cricetidae
Source: RefSeq, a predicted model, not a curated record